UGAAGAGCCAGUGUGCUGUACGGUG
This 25-nucleotide non-coding RNA is filed under the name Mus musculus (house mouse). Lineage: Eukaryota; Metazoa; Chordata; Mammalia; Rodentia; Muridae. The record is from RNAcentral.